AAUCAAGUGCCUUAAGGGUGUUCGGUGGAUGCCUUGGCGCUGAGAGGCGAUGAAGGACGUGCUACGCUGCGAUAAGCCGUGGGGAGCUGCGAAGAAGCUUUGAUCCGCGGAUUUCCGAAUGGGGAAACCCACCUUCGAUAGCCGGAACUCCAAGACCUUGUGUCUUGGUGUUCGACCAGAAAUGAUCGGGACCAUGACCGCGAGGUUUUGGAUUUCCGGUUAUCAAGAGAAGGUAUGAGACUUCUGAAUACAUAGGAGGUUUCAAGCAAACCCAGGGAACUGAAACAUCUAAGUACCUGGAGGAAAGGACAUCAACAGAGACUCCGUUAGUAGUGGCGAGCGAACGCGGACCAGGCCAGUGAUACAUCAAAGACAAUCGGAACCAGUCAGGAAAGCUGGGCCUCAGAGGGUGAUAGCCCCGUACGAGUAAUGCGAUGAUGUAUCCACGAGUACGGCGGACACCGUGG
This 467-nucleotide ribosomal RNA is filed under the name Bradyrhizobium japonicum. RNAcentral's name for it is "bacterial LSU rRNA". It matches the Rfam family "Bacterial large subunit ribosomal RNA", at positions 1 to 429 of the family's 2925-position model. Lineage: Bacteria; Pseudomonadati; Pseudomonadota; Alphaproteobacteria; Hyphomicrobiales; Nitrobacteraceae. The record is from RNAcentral.